UGUUGGUGAGGUAACGGCUCACCAAGGCGACGACGGGUAGCCGGCCUGAGAGGGUGACCGGCCACACUGGGACUGAGACACGGCCCAGACUCCUACGGGAGGCAGCAGUGGGGAAUAUUGCACAAUGGGCGCAAGCCUGAUGCAGCAACGCCGCGUGAGGGACGACGGCCUUCGGGUUGUAAACCUCUUUUAGUAGGGAAGAAGCGAAAGUGACGGUACCUGCAGAAAAAGCACCGGCUAACUACGUGCCAGCAGCCGCGGUAAUACGUAGGGUGCAAGCGUUGUCCGGAAUUAUUGGGCGUAAAGAGCUCGUAGGCGGUCUGUCGCGUCUGCUGUGAAAACCCGAGGCUCAACCUCGGGCCUGCAGUGGGUACGGGCAGACUAGAGUGCGGUAGGGGAGAUUGGAAUUCCUGGUGUAGCGGUGGAAUGCGCAGAUAUCAGGAGGAACACCGAUGGCGAAGGCAGAUCUCUGGGCCGUAACUGACGCUGAGGAGCGAAAGCGUGGGGAGCGAACAGGAUUAGAUACCCUGGUAGUCCACGCCGUAAACGUUGGGCGCUAGAUGUGGGGACCAUUCCACGGUUUCCGUGUCGCAGCUAACGCAUUAAGCGCCCCGCCUGGGGAGUACGGCUAGAGGAUCCCC
This 641-nucleotide ribosomal RNA is filed under the name uncultured Actinomycetes bacterium. Its description in RNAcentral is "bacterial SSU rRNA". It matches the Rfam family "Bacterial small subunit ribosomal RNA", at positions 247 to 902 of the family's 1533-position model. Lineage: Bacteria; Bacillati; Actinomycetota; Actinomycetes. The record is from RNAcentral.